RNAcentral lists this ribosomal RNA (274 nucleotides) under uncultured bacterium. RNAcentral's name for it is "partial 16S ribosomal RNA". It matches the Rfam family "Bacterial small subunit ribosomal RNA", at positions 523 to 796 of the family's 1533-position model. The record is from RNAcentral.
AUACGGAGGGUGCAAGCGUUAAUCGGAAUUACUGGGCGUAAAGAGUACGUAGGUGGUUUAUUAAGUCAGAUGUGAAAGCCCCGGGCUUAACCUGGGAACUGCAUUUGAUACUGGCAAACUAGAGUAUGAUAGAGGCGGGUAGAAUUCCUAGUGUAUCGGUGAAAUGCGUAGAUAUUAGGAGGAAUACCAGUGGCGAAGGCGGCCCGCUGGACCAAUACUGACACUGAGGUACGAAAGCGUGGGUAGCGAACAGGAUUAGAAACCCUAGUAGUCC